UCCAAGGAUUUCCCAUCGUGCCCUCAACAGUUCCACUUCCACUUCCACUUCCACUUCCCCACACUGUUUAUUCGCUUUCUCCUUCCUUAUUUCAUGAAGUGCAUCCUUUGCUUCCUCCCUCUUUCCUAGUUUCCCUGUAAGGGACACAAGCAAAAAUAAAGCUACGAUUCCACAAAUUUAGGUUAAAGACGGGUUCCAAUCAAGAAAACAUUCAAAAAUGAAAAUAAAAGCUUCAACAAAUAUGGUUUUCUGUAAAUUACAGUUGGAUCUACAAUCUAGUUUUUAUGCAAAUUUUGAGUUUGUGCCUAUCAAAUGCUAAAACAGGGCAGCCCUUCAUCUCCACCCUUGAGCAUUGACAAUUUAAUAGUUCAAUGUAUAUUACAGAUUUUGAAAAGCAGUACUACAUGAAGAAAAUGUUGGUACUUUUUUUGUCCUCCUUAAUUUACGGCCCGUUUGGUAUGUGGUAAUAAAUGGUGGUAAUGGUAACGAAAAACUAGUGUACUUUUGGUUGAAAAGUAUCUUGGCUACCUUGAUAGUUAUGCUUGUCCAACUUCAAUCGUUCAAUUUGAUGAUUUGAUAUAUUUUUGAGGUUCAAUUUGACGACUAAGAUUGCUACGAUUGUCAAGAUUUGAAGUUUUUCUUUUUCAACUCCACUCAUUCUUAAGGUAAGGUUUUAGAGGUGCAAUUUCAACUAUCGUUCUUGCUGUUAUUUACUGCAUUAUCUCUUCUUUAUUUUUUUUUUUCAUUUUUAAUUUGCAAAUUACAAAUAAAGUAUUAAAAUUUACAUGUUAAAGCGAAAAACAAGUAAAGCAAUUGAUAAACAGUCAUAUAUGAAUAUUUUAUCAAAAAAAAACUAAAUGCAUUGAUUCUGAUUUGUUUGCUAGAUUUCCAGGUGGAAUGAUUUUUGUAUGAUGGGGGUUUUAUGUUGAUAGUUAUUGAGCAUUUGAUAUGAAUAUUGAAGUUUUUUGGAUCUUUAAUAAUUAGAAUAGCGCCAACAUUAAUCUUGAUGAAACCAUUUUUUCUGUUUCACACUUAAGCAAUCUUGAUGAAACCAUUUCCAGGUGCAAUUUUGUUCUUUUACUUGCUCUCAUAUUUGUAUUUAUGUUUUUGUUUUAUUUUGUUGUAGAUGGUGUAAACUAAUCUAUUAUUAUCUAAACAAAUAAUAUUCAUGUAUCAACUUAUUUGAUCUGAGCUCUGACUUUAAGUUAGCUUGAGAAUUUUAGUUUACGAAUUUUCGAUUUUCCAUUGGGUUUUUUAUCUCUCGUAUUUGAUGGCUAAGCGAUUUAAUUAUGCUUGGAAGGGAAGCAUGUAAGUUUUGUAAACAUUUUUUUUUUAUUUUUUUGUUAACAAUUUCUUAAUUUUUGAUAAUUUUUGUUGAAAUAGCUCUGUUUUUCUGCUGUGUAGUGUUGAUUUAAGGAGAAUUUAAUUGCGUUUGCUUGGAUUUAUGUAGUGAUUUUUUGUUGGGUGAUUCUUAGUUGGAUACCUAUGAGCUAUUUGCAUUUGAAACUUUAUGAUUUUGGGUUGACCUUUAUUUAGUGAAAUUGAUCAUUUAAUUUGUUGGGAAUUUUUUAUUGUGAUGGAAAUGUAUCUAGGUUUUGCUUAAUUUGGAUAUUUUCGACAUGAAUAAUAUGAAGAAAAGAGGUAUUUGAAUAUUUUUGCAUGAUUUAAGAACUAGAACAAGAUUGUGGUAUCAUGAGCGAGUUUUAAAAUUGGGUAUUGGGUGUAGAUUAAGAGUUCAAUGUGAGUUUGGAAUAAAGGAACUAGUGUGAGAUUGCUUAUUUGAAUAUUUUUUGAAUUAAUACAUCCAAACUCAUUAUCAUCAUAUCCAGUGUAUCCCGCUCAUAGAAUAUUAUGGUCAGGGUCUGGGGUAGUAUAACUAAGCUAAUUAUGGCUAUAAUUAAAAUAACGUUUGUAAAUAAAAUUGGUGAAUUUUUGUGAAAACUUUUGUGCUUUCUCAUAAGUACCCUAUUGAUUUAUCGUAUUUUGGUUUAUAACUUUUACAUUUAUUUUUUAAUUUUGAUAAUUCUCCUUUCCAUUUCGGGUUUACUAUAUGCUUCGUUGAAAUUAUUAUAAAGAACUAUUGUACCUUUAGGGACUGAAAUGGAAUGGUUGUGUGGUGUCACUAUCACCUAUAAUGGUUAUGUUGCUAGUCUAUCUCAAGCAAGCUAUUGAAACUCUAACUUUCUGCUAAUUAUGUCGAGAUAUAUGGGGGUUUAGUUUUCUACAAUAUUCAACUUUUGUUUGUUCCAUUUAAUUCAUUUGAUACAUUUUCUUUUAGUGUGCCUGUUUUUGUCAUAUGUUUUUCUUUUGGAUUGAAGACGAAGCCAGAAUAUGCCAAGCGCGGUCAAAGGUUCUGGAGGAGGUAGGACGACUAUGGAAAUGGGAUAUGCAAUAUUGUUAUAGAAGUUGAGACUAAGAAUUAUUUUGUUGCUUGAGUACAGAAAUAUUUAUCUGAUUGAACUUUUGUGUAAUAACCUGUCAUUAAGACCAUGUAUAUUUGUAGUUUGAUUAGGCUAUCUUACUUUGCUUUUGGUAGCCGUCAUGCACAACAGUCCAAUUGGAACAAUAUCACUUGCUUUUGGCAAUCUACUCUGUAAUUUGAAUAUCUAUUGUUAACAAAGCAAUUAUGUGAGUUAUCUCGGUCAAAAA
Amaranthus tricolor (Joseph's coat) is the source of this 2649-nucleotide long non-coding RNA. RefSeq lists it as uncharacterized. The record is from RefSeq and is a predicted model, not a curated record. Lineage: Eukaryota; Viridiplantae; Streptophyta; Magnoliopsida; Caryophyllales; Amaranthaceae. The transcript has 2 exons.